RNAcentral lists this unclassified non-coding RNA (164 nucleotides) under uncultured Basidiomycota. Its description in RNAcentral is "sequence contains ITS2". Lineage: Eukaryota; Fungi; Basidiomycota. The record is from RNAcentral.
AAUCUCAACCAUUAGGGUUUCUUAAUGGCUUGGAUUUGGGUGUUGCCAGCUUGUCUGGCUCGCCUUAAAGGAGUUAGCGAGUAUAGCAAUGUCGUCUGGCGUAAUAAGUUUCGCUGGUUAGGCUUGUGAAGCACGCUUCUAAUCGCCCUUGGGCAAUUUUUGAA